Camponotus floridanus (Florida carpenter ant) is the source of this 152-nucleotide long non-coding RNA. RefSeq lists it as uncharacterized. The record is from RefSeq and is a predicted model, not a curated record. Lineage: Eukaryota; Metazoa; Arthropoda; Insecta; Hymenoptera; Formicidae. The transcript is spliced from 3 exons.
AAUUCUACUUAUAAUAGAAUAAAUAUAGUUCAUGAUGUCAACAAAAAAAUUGAUACAAAUAACCAAAGCAAUCUUAAACUAAAAAGAUGCUCUAUUCAAGAGAACACCAGCCAAGAAAAUACUUACUCUGAUGAUGAGGCCGCGAUGCAGGG